This 433-nucleotide ribosomal RNA is filed under the name uncultured bacterium. RNAcentral describes it as "partial 16S ribosomal RNA". It matches the Rfam family "Bacterial small subunit ribosomal RNA", at positions 28 to 507 of the family's 1533-position model. The record is from RNAcentral.
GACGAACGCUGGCGGCAUGCCUAACACAUGCAAGUCGAACGAGACGUUCGGGCCUUGUGGCGCACGGCUGCGUAACGCGUGGGAACCUGCCCUUGGGUUAGGAAUCCCUCCCCGAAAGGGGUCCUCAUACCGGAUAAUGUCUUCGGACCAAAGAUUUAUCGCGUUUGGGUGGGCCCGGGUUGGAUUCGCGGGUUGGUAGGGUAAAAGCAUACCAAGGGGACGAUGCAUAGCUGGUCGGAGAGGAUGCUCCGCCACAAUGGGCCUGCGACACGGCCCAGACUCGGACGCGGCGCAGCAGUGGGGAAUAUUGGACAAUGGGCGAAAGCCUGAUCCAGCAAUGCCGCGGGAGUGAUGAAGGCCGUAGGGUUGUAAAGCUCUUUUACCCGGGACGAUAGUGACAGUACCGGGUGAAUAAGCUCCGGCUAACUCCGUG